This 1553-nucleotide long non-coding RNA is filed under the name Pan troglodytes (chimpanzee). RNAcentral describes it as "long non-coding RNA NONPTRT000154". The record is from RNAcentral. Lineage: Eukaryota; Metazoa; Chordata; Mammalia; Primates; Hominidae.
CCCCGCCUCCCCGCAGCGCUGACCUCCACGCCCGGACCCCUGGCCACCCCGACAAGCUUCGCCGAGGUGCCGACCGACCAACUGAUCGCGGACGCCGGCUGGAAGGACUACGGAUCCGCAGGAAGAGGCAGUGGGGGGCCAGGGGCCCAGUAGAGGAGGCUGAGGUGCGGUCUUAGCGGCUGCUACUCGGAAGGCUGAAACAGGAGAAUCGCUUGAACCUGGGAGGCAGAGGUUGCGGUGAGCCGAAAUCGCGCCAGUGUACUCCAGCCUGGGCAACAAGAGCAAAACUUCGUCUCAAAAAGAAAAAGAAAACUUGAGUAUUAAAUGAGAAGUCAUACUAAGUACUUGGCACAUAGCAGAGAUCCGUAAAUGAUGGAACCAAUUUGCCCAGCCCUGGAGAGGCCGCCAGGACAGAACCCCCAGGCAGCGUGGGCCUCUGCUUCUCUAGAGCAUCACCAUAUCAGGAAUCCCUGGAAUGGGCCCUGGGGAACUCCAUAAGGGGAGAAGUGGAGGAGGGGCAGGCUUUUCAUCCCAGGAACAUUCCAUUCUAACUGCUCAGGCUAGGGGAUCCCAGCCAAGGACAAAGGCCCAAGGGAACCUCUGCUUCCCCAGGAGUCCCAUUCCAUACUAUUGAAUCCUGCAUCUUCUCUCCACAAUGCCCCCGCCCCCUUCAGGCAGAUUUCAAGUUGAAGGGCUUGGGUGGGGCUGGGUGGCUGUGGGAAAGAGGCCAUUAAAGCUCUUGGAAUUAUUCUUUCCAGCUCCUUCCAACUCCUCAGAACCUCCACUCUAUGGAUCUGGACCUCUGGAUUCGGCUUUCUCCCUGGGCACUGCCUUCAGGAAGACGUUGAGAAUUGACCUUACACAAUCCCAGCGCCCUCCUCACAGGAGCCUUUCACUUUACAGUGGCAAGGGGCUGGUUCUGGGGAACUGGCUGAUGCUCUGAAUUUCUUCAUAUACCCCACAUUUGACUUUGGCUUACACUGUACAAUUGGAGAUGUUGCUACAGGUCCCUGAGAUGCAAUCAGAUUAAGCGUAGCAAGCAUUGCCAAUGGGAAAGUCAAAAUAAUUUAUUUUUUUUCCCUUUCCCCCUACCCCAUCCCCAGCCAAGAAUUUCUUUUAAAGAUAUCGUCAUCAUUCUUAAACAACAUUCUUAACCCCCAGCUGGGGUCCCCAUUUUAGUAGAUGUCAUUGCUUCAAGUCUAACGGCGCCGGGAGGCCUGUUUGAGGGAAAACAUUAGUUUGAAAAAUCCCCGUUCCCUUCAUCCACUGCCCUUGUUCUCCACGUGGGAGUGUGCCUGUGGCCCCUUAGAAAGAUAGUCUGCUGGCUCCUAGGGGUUGGGGUGGGGGACACACCUUUUUCUCAGGAAGAGGUGAUGGCAAUGUAAAACAUCUAAGCAAAGUUUUAAAUGAAAAAAAGGAAACACAUUUAAACAUCCUGAUAAUGGAGGGAAGGGGGGCACAUUUACACAUAGCCCAGAACUUGUAGAAUUCUGCAUAGUGAAUGUAUAUUGAAUUAGUCUCCUGCCUUAUACAUUCAGGAAGAAUAAAUUUCC